UAGGCGACCGGGUGAGUAACACGUGACUAACCUACCCUCGAGUGUGGAAUAACAUCGGGAAACCGAUGCUAAUACCGCAUAAUAUCGCAAGAUUAAAGCAGCAAUGCGCUUGAGGAGGGGGUCGCGGCUGAUUAGCUAGUUGGCGGGGUAACGGCCCACCAAGGCGAUGAUCGGUAUCCGGCCUGAGAGGGCGCACGGACACACUGGAACUGAAACACGGUCCAG
RNAcentral lists this ribosomal RNA (225 nucleotides) under uncultured bacterium. RNAcentral describes it as "partial 16S ribosomal RNA". It matches the Rfam family "Bacterial small subunit ribosomal RNA", at positions 95 to 334 of the family's 1533-position model. The record is from RNAcentral.